CCUACGGGUGGCAGCAGUGGGGGAUAUUGCACAAUGGGGGAAACCCUGAUGCAGCGACGCCGCGUGUGGGAAGACGGUCCUCUGGAUUGUAAACCACUGUCCCCAGUGACGAAGAUGACGGUACCUGGGGAGGAAGCUCCGGCUAACUACGUGCCAGCCGCCGCGGUCAUACGUAGGGAGCGAGCGGUGUCCGGAAUUACUGGGUGGAAAGGUAGCGUAGGCGGGGAUGCAAGUUGGGUGUCAAAACUACCGGCUCAACUGGUAGUCGCACUCAAAACUGCAGCUCUUGAGUGAAGUAGAGGCAGGCGGAAUUCCUAGUGUAGCGGUGAAAUGCGUCGAGAUGAGGAGGAACACCAGUGGCGAAGGCGGCCUGCUGGGCUUUUACUGACGAUGAGGCUCGAAAGUGUGGGGAGCAAACAGGAUUAGAUACCCUAGUAGUC
Molecule: ribosomal RNA, 440 nt
Filed under: uncultured bacterium
Lineage: Bacteria
Description: partial 16S ribosomal RNA
Rfam family: Bacterial small subunit ribosomal RNA
Source: RNAcentral